RNAcentral lists this transfer RNA (67 nucleotides) under human gut metagenome. It matches the Rfam family "tRNA", at positions 5 to 66 of the family's 71-position model. Rfam says of the family: Transfer RNA (tRNA) molecules are approximately 80 nucleotides in length. Their secondary structure includes four short double-helical elements and three loops (D, anti-codon, and T loops). The record is from RNAcentral.
UCUGUAGCUCAGUUGGAUAGAGCAACGGCCUUCUAAGCCGUGGGUCGGGGGUUCGAAUCCCUCCAGG